GAGUCAGGGCACCCCAGAAUCACCCAUGGCUGUAGCAAAGGAAGACCCUGGGAUGGCUCUGUAUACAGCGACUGUCUCGUAAACUUACUGGGCAGAGGUAACAGGUUAUGCUAAAGCGUUCCUUCAAGCUCCCGGCAUCAAGGGAAAGAAAGAGUUCAGGGCAGAGACCGAGGUCCUCUAAUUACUGUGGUGACUGGCUAGUGGCUGUUGUGAAUAUGACAUUGCACUGAGAAAAUCUGAAAGAACAGAAACCGUGUUCCAAGGAAGAAAUUUGAAUUGGUUCAAUUUUGAGCAGAGCCUCAGAUGUGCAUCAGCAUAGGCAUGUUGGCGUGGAUGCUCAUCCUUUGAGUUAGGCUGCUGCAAGCUGAGAGGUGAUUCCACAUGUCGAGCAAGAGGAGGGAAUCACAUCAGCUGCCCUAUGCUAGAAGUUAUUUUACAAAUUGUAACUUGUAUUCACUUACCUUGUGUUAAACUGAAGCUUUCUCUGCAUUCCUAGAUGCUGGAGUAUCUAGAGACACUCAGUGAGCCAGUGAGAGCAUGAUUCAAGACAGUCGUAAAUGAAGAGAGCUACACUUGACUCGGUCAGAUUUCAAACAUGACACCCUUCUUUCCCCUGUGACAGAAGAAUCACCAUCUUCUGAGCAGCUGUCUCACAGAGUGCUGGAGUCACUUAACUGGAUGAGAUUUCUGGGAGCUGAGACAUAGGUAAUGGCUCUCCCAAACUGACCAAACCAAGGGCAGAAAAAAGAAGACAAAAGAGAGCCGCCAUGUCUAAAUGCAGACUAGGCAUUUGGAAAGUCUGUGAACAGCCUCCUUCUAUGACUGAACCCACAGUACUCCACAUCGCAGAACUGAGAUGAUGAUGUAAGUUAAGUUGAAAGCAAGGAGGUGAUUCUACUCAAUGGUAAAGUGAUGAUGUAAUAAUUACUUGCUGAAUCAGUUCUCUUGGGACUAGCAAGUUGAACUACGCAGAGUUAGGGUGGUUUCUGAAUUGCCUAGACUGAUUUCCACACUAGUCAUGAAUAUUUAUGGAAU
Long non-coding RNA from Mesocricetus auratus (golden hamster), 1035 nucleotides. RefSeq lists it as uncharacterized. The transcript is spliced from 3 exons. NCBI's taxonomy places the organism in Eukaryota, Metazoa, Chordata, Mammalia, Rodentia, Cricetidae. The record is from RefSeq and is a predicted model, not a curated record.